UACGUAGGGUGCAAGCGUUGUCCGGAAUUAUUGGGCGUAAAGAGCUCGUAGGCGGUCUGUCGCGUCGGAUGUGGAAAUCCAGGGCUCAACCCUGGACCUGCAUUCGAUACGGGCAGACUAGAGUUCGGCAGGGGAGACUGGAAUUCCUGGUGUAGCGGUGAGAUGCGCAGAUAUCAGGAGGAACACCGGUGGCGAAGGCGGCUCUCUGGGCCGAUACUGACGCUGAGGAGCGAAAGCGUGGGGAGCGAACAGG
Molecule: ribosomal RNA, 253 nt
Filed under: uncultured bacterium
Lineage: Bacteria
Description: partial 16S ribosomal RNA
Rfam family: Bacterial small subunit ribosomal RNA
Source: RNAcentral